Molecule: ribosomal RNA, 253 nt
Filed under: uncultured bacterium
Lineage: Bacteria
Description: partial 16S ribosomal RNA
Rfam family: Bacterial small subunit ribosomal RNA
Source: RNAcentral
UACGUAGGGUGCAAGCGUUGUCCGGAAUUAUUGGGCGUAAAGAGCUCGUAGGCGGUUUGUCGCGUCUGCUGUGAAAACUCGGGGCUUAACCCCGGGCCUGCAGUGGGUACGGGCAAACUAGAGUGCGGUAGGGGAGACUGGAAUUCCUGGUGUAGCGGUGAAAUGCGCAGAUAUCAGGAGGAACACCGGUGGCGAAGGCGGGUCUCUGGGCCGUAACUGACGCUGAGGAGCGAAAGCGUGGGGAGCGAACAGG